This 252-nucleotide ribosomal RNA is filed under the name uncultured bacterium. RNAcentral's name for it is "partial 16S ribosomal RNA". It matches the Rfam family "Bacterial small subunit ribosomal RNA", at positions 524 to 776 of the family's 1533-position model. The record is from RNAcentral.
UACGAAGGGGGCUAGCGUUGUUCGGAUUUACUGGGCGUAAAGCGCACGUAGGCGGUUUGUUAAGUCAGGGGUGAAAUCCCACAGCUCAACUGUGGAACUGCCUUUGAUACCGGCAGCUAGAGUCCGGAAGAGGUAAGUGGAACUCCUAGUGUAGAGGUGGAAUUCGUAGAUAUUAGGAAGAACACCAGUGGCGAAGGCGGCUUACUGGUCCGGAACUGACGCUGAGGUGCGAAAGCGUGGGGAGCAAACAGG